RNAcentral lists this ribosomal RNA (253 nucleotides) under uncultured bacterium. RNAcentral's name for it is "partial 16S ribosomal RNA". It matches the Rfam family "Bacterial small subunit ribosomal RNA", at positions 524 to 776 of the family's 1533-position model. The record is from RNAcentral.
UACAGAGGGGGCAAGCGUUAUUCGGAAUUAUUGGGCGUAAAGGGCGCGUAGGCGGCUUGACAAGUGGAAGGUGAAAUCCCUCGGCUUAACCGAGGAACUGCCCUCCAAACUGCUUAGCUUGAGACCGGGAGAGGUGAGUGGAAUUCCCAGUGUAGCGGUGAAAUGCGUAGAUAUUGGGAGGAACACCAGUGGCGAAGGCGGCUCACUGGACCGGUACUGACGCUGAUGCGCGAAAGCGUGGGGAGCAAACGGG